AUGAAAAAAAAUCCCAAACAAAAGUCAAAUCGCACGUACCGUUGCAUGUACUUAUUAACUAUUUUAAAUUCUAGUUGUUUUUUCAUCUAUUUUCCAGCUUUAGUAGAGACUUGUUCAACUAUGAAAUAUGUUAUCGUCUUCCUUUUUCUAUUUAAAAAAAAUAUAACUGGAGCAAUCUGUCAUCAGAAAAUAAGCAGUAACUUUCCCACUACUAGGCAACAUAUCGAGCGAACCCACACAGGCUUAUACAAGAAACAACAUACCGAAGGAAAAAACUUUAACGUAACCACAAACUCGAAACAAAAGGCUCGGUACGAAGGAGUGGGCUUUCCCGAACGAAACAGCCGGCCCACUUGGGACUCGUAG
Molecule: ribosomal RNA, 366 nt
Filed under: Triticum aestivum (bread wheat)
Lineage: Eukaryota; Viridiplantae; Streptophyta; Magnoliopsida; Poales; Poaceae
Description: partial small subunit ribosomal RNA
Source: RNAcentral